UCGAGCCUGUCGCUGCUGCC
This 20-nucleotide unclassified non-coding RNA is filed under the name Mus musculus (house mouse). RNAcentral's name for it is "oocyte_clustered_small_RNA230". Lineage: Eukaryota; Metazoa; Chordata; Mammalia; Rodentia; Muridae. The record is from RNAcentral.